Long non-coding RNA from Alosa sapidissima (American shad), 161 nucleotides. RefSeq lists it as uncharacterized. The record is from RefSeq and is a predicted model, not a curated record. The transcript has 3 exons. Lineage: Eukaryota; Metazoa; Chordata; Actinopteri; Clupeiformes; Clupeidae.
GAUUGGUAAAAUUGGCGGAAGGUGGCGAAGCAGGCCAAAACACAAACUCAAACAUAAACAGUAUUUGCAGGCUCCUUCAGUUUGAAUUUGAAUAUCCUGGCUGUACCAUUGUUGUCAGUGAAGUCGGUAUUUGAAAAUAACAUGUUUUUUCAAUCUCUGAU